RNAcentral lists this ribosomal RNA (496 nucleotides) under uncultured bacterium. Its description in RNAcentral is "bacterial SSU rRNA". It matches the Rfam family "Bacterial small subunit ribosomal RNA", at positions 8 to 484 of the family's 1533-position model. The record is from RNAcentral.
AGAGUUUGAUCAUGGCUCAGAACGAACGCUGGCGGCGUGCUUAACACAUGCAAGUCGAACGAGAAAGGGCUCUUCGGAGCCCGAGUAAAGUGGCGCACGGGUGAGUAACGCGUAGAUAACCUGUCCUGGUGUCUGGGAUAACCCACCGAAAGGUGGACUAAUACCGGAUACGCUUGCUGAGCGGAAGCGAUGCAAGGAAAGAUGGCCUCUGAUGUAAGCUAUCGCACCUCGAGGGGUCUGCGUACCAUUAGCUAGUUGGUGGGGUAACGGCCUACCAAGGCAACGAUGGUUAGCGGGUCUGAGAGGAUGAUCCGUCACACUGGCACUGAAACACGGGCCAGACUCCUACGGGAGGCAGCAGUGAGGAAUAUUGCGCAAUGGGGGAAACCCUGACGCAGCGACGCCGCGUGAGUGAGGAAGGCCUUCGGGUCGUAAAACUCUGUCAGAAGGGAAGAAGUGCAGCGAGGUUAAUACCCUUUCUGUUGACGGUACUCAA